AGCAGCCGCGGUAAUACGAAGGUCCCGAGCGUUGUUCGGAAUCACUGGGCGUAAAGGGAGCGUAGGCGCGCGGUAAGUCAGAUGUGAAAUCCCGGGGCUCAACCCGGAACUGCAUCCGAUACUGCCGUGCUAGAGGAUUGGAGAGGUAGCUGGAAUUCUCGGUGUAGCAGUGAAAUGCGUGGAGAUCGAGAGGAACACUCGUGGCGAAAGCGAGCUACUGGACAAUAUCUGACGCUGAGGCUCGAAGGCCAGGGUAGCGAAAGGGAUUAGAUACCCCUGUAGUCCUGGCAGUAAACGGUGUGCGCUUGGUGUGAGGGGAUUCGACCCCCCUUGUGCCGGAGCUAACGCGUUAAGCGCACCGCCUGGGAAGUACGGUCGCAAGACUAAAACUCAAAGAAAUUGACGGGGACCCGCACAAGCGGUGGAGUAUGUGGCUUAAUUCGAUGCAACGCGAAGAACCUUACCUAGGCUUGACAUGCAUCUCUAAGCGCGUGAAAGCGCGUGACCCUUCGGGGGAUUUGCACAGGUGCUGCAUGGCCGUCGUCAGCUCGUGUCGUGAGAUGUUGGGUUAAGUCCCGCAACGAGCGCAACCCUUGUGAUUAGUUGCCAUCGGGUCAUGCCGGGAACUCUAAUCAGACUGCCCAGAUCAACUGGGAGGAAGGUGGGGACGACGUCAGGUCAGUAUGGCCCUUACGCCUAGGGCUGCACACGUACUACAAUGCCCAGUACAAUGAGAGCCGAGACCGCAAGGUGGAGGAAAUCUGGAAAACUGGGCCCAGUUCGGAUUGGAGGCUGCAACUCGCCUCCAUGAAGUUGGAAUCGCUAGUAAUGGCGCAUCAGCUACGGCGCCGUGAAUACGUUCCCGGGUCUUGUACACACCGCCCGUCACAUCAUGGAAGCCGGUCGCACCCGAAGUGCCUGUGCCAACCGCAAGGGGGCGGGGUCCUAAGGUGUAGCUGGUAACUGGGAUGAAG
Molecule: ribosomal RNA, 974 nt
Filed under: uncultured Verrucomicrobiota bacterium
Lineage: Bacteria; Pseudomonadati; Verrucomicrobiota
Description: bacterial SSU rRNA
Rfam family: Bacterial small subunit ribosomal RNA
Source: RNAcentral